GACGAACGCUGGCGGCGUGCUUAACACAUGCAAGUCGAACGAAGAGCGAUGGAAGCUUGCUUCUAUCAAUCUUAGUGGCGAACGGGUGAGUAACGCGUAAUCAACCUGCCCUUCAGAGGGGGACAACAGUUGGAAACGACUGCUCAUACCGCAUACGAUCUAAUCUCGGCAUCGAGGAUAGAUGAAAGGUGGCCUCUACAUGUAAGCUAUCACUGAAGGAGGGGAUUGCGUCUGAUUAGCUAGUUGGAGGGGUAACGGCCCACCAAGGCGAUGAUCAGUAGCCGGUCUGAGAGGAUGAACGGCCACAUUGGGACUGAGACACGGCCCAGACUCCUACGGGAGGCAGCAGUGGGGAAUCUUCCGCAAUGGACGAAAGUCUGACGGAGCAAUGCCGCGUGAGUGAUGACGGCCUUCGGGUUGUAAAGCUCUGUUAAUCGGGACGAAAGGCCUUCUUGCGAAUAGUGAGAAGGAUUGACGGUACCGGAAUAGAAAGCCACGGCUAACUACGUG
This 510-nucleotide ribosomal RNA is filed under the name uncultured bacterium. RNAcentral's name for it is "partial 16S ribosomal RNA". It matches the Rfam family "Bacterial small subunit ribosomal RNA", at positions 28 to 507 of the family's 1533-position model. The record is from RNAcentral.